GACGAACGCUGGCGGCGUGCCUAAUACAUGCAAGUCGAGCGGACGAAUCGAAAGCUUGCUUUUGAUUCGUUAGCGGCGGACGGGUGAGUAACACGUGGGCAACCUGCCCUGUAGACGGGGAUAACACCGAGAAAUCGGUGCUAAUACCGGAUAACACGAAAUGUCGCAUGACGUUUCGUUGAAAGACGGCGCAAGCUGUCGCUACAGGAUGGGCCCGCGGCGCAUUAGCUAGUUGGUGAGGUAACGGCUCACCAAGGCGACGAUGCGUAGCCGACCUGAGAGGGGGACCGGCACACUGGGGACUGAGACCCGGCCAAGACUCCUAGGGGAGGCAGAAGGAAGGAAUCUUCCGAAAGGGAGGAAAGUUUGAGGGAGCAACGCCGGGGGGGGGAAGAAGGCCUUCGGGUCGAAAAGCUCUGUUGUUGGGGAAGAAAAAGUAACGCAGUAACUGGCGUUACCGUGACGGUACCAAACGAAAAAGCCACGGCCAACUACGG
Molecule: ribosomal RNA, 497 nt
Filed under: uncultured bacterium
Lineage: Bacteria
Description: partial 16S ribosomal RNA
Rfam family: Bacterial small subunit ribosomal RNA
Source: RNAcentral